This 656-nucleotide ribosomal RNA is filed under the name Aphelenchoides sp. Ap037. RNAcentral's name for it is "eukaryotic LSU rRNA". It matches the Rfam family "Eukaryotic large subunit ribosomal RNA", at positions 407 to 908 of the family's 3401-position model. Lineage: Eukaryota; Metazoa; Nematoda; Chromadorea; Rhabditida; Aphelenchoididae. The record is from RNAcentral.
GUUAUAGUGGAAGCGGAUGGAGCCGACGUAUCCAGUGCGUAUUCAGCCGUUGGCGGSUGUGAUCUGUCUGUUUGGGGUUCUGCAAAGUCUCCGGCAGGCACCGUUGCRUUCGUUGGCGGUGCACUUGCGUACAGAGUGCGCCGAAUCGGUCGAGCGCGCUGUUUGAAGACCGGCAAGAGGACACCUUGUGUGAAACCUGGCCGGUCGGAUGGCGGAUGUGCUYGGCUGUUUGAAAGGAGCUGGUUAUUCGUGGGGCCGUGCCUGCAUUGUGGUCUUUUGGAGGUGACACAUGUGUUCUCUCCUUACGACUGCGGUGCAGGCGCGGCUUUGCCCGGCUUUCCAUUCGGUGUCUAGUCGGUCACCCAUUUGACCCGUCUUGAAACACGGACCAAGGAGUUUAAGGUAUGCGCAAGUCAUUGAGCUUAAUGAAACUCAAAGGCGCAAUGAAAGUGGGCCACUCAGUGGCUGCGAUGUGAGKCUGUGGCGACUCGUCGACGCGGACGCAACAUCAACCCAUGACUGGAACUUGUUCUGUUGUGGAGUUCGAGCGUAUGCUUUGAGACCCGAAAGAUGGUGAACUAUGCCUGAACAGGACGAAGUCAGAGGAAACUCUGAUGGAAGUCCGAAGCGGUUCUGACGUGCAAAUCGAUCGUCUG